This 2923-nucleotide ribosomal RNA is filed under the name Klebsiella pneumoniae. RNAcentral's name for it is "bacterial LSU rRNA". It matches the Rfam family "Bacterial large subunit ribosomal RNA". The record is from RNAcentral. Lineage: Bacteria; Pseudomonadati; Pseudomonadota; Gammaproteobacteria; Enterobacterales; Enterobacteriaceae.
GGGUUGUGAGGUUAAGCGACUAAGCGUACACGGUGGAUGCCCUGGCAGUCAGAGGCGAUGAAGGACGUGCUAAUCUGCGAAAAGCGUCGGUAAGGUGAUAUGAACCGUUAUAGCCGGCGAUGUCCGAAUGGGGAAACCCAGUGCAAUUCGUUGCACUAUCGUUAACUGAAUACAUAGGUUAACGAGGCGAACCGGGGGAACUGAAACAUCUAAGUACCCCGAGGAAAAGAAAUCAACCGAGAUUCCCCCAGUAGCGGCGAGCGAACGGGGAGCAGCCCAGAGUCUGAAUCAGCUUGUGUGUUAGUGGAACGGUCUGGAAAGUCCGACGGUACAGGGUGAUAGUCCCGUACACCAAAAUGCACAGGCUGUGAACUCGAAGAGUAGGGCGGGACACGUGGUAUCCUGUCUGAAUAUGGGGGGACCAUCCUCCAAGGCUAAAUACUCCUGACUGACCGAUAGUGAACCAGUACCGUGAGGGAAAGGCGAAAAGAACCCCGGCGAGGGGAGUGAAAAAGAACCUGAAACCGUGUACGUACAAGCAGUGGGAGCACCUUCGGGUGUGACUGCGUACCUUUUGUAUAAUGGGUCAGCGACUUAUAUUCUGUAGCAAGGUUAACCGUAUAGGGGAGCCGCAGGGAAACCGAGUCUUAACUGGGCGUUAAGUUGCAGGGUAUAGACCCGAAACCCGGUGAUCUAGCCAUGGGCAGGUUGAAGGUUGGGUAACACUAACUGGAGGACCGAACCGACUAAUGUUGAAAAAUUAGCGGAUGACUUGUGGCUGGGGGUGAAAGGCCAAUCAAACCGGGAGAUAGCUGGUUCUCCCCGAAAGCUAUUUAGGUAGCGCCUCGUGAAUUCAUCUUCGGGGGUAGAGCACUGUUUCGGCUAGGGGGUCAUCCCGACUUACCAACCCGAUGCAAACUACGAAUACCGAAGAAUGUUAUCACGGGAGACACACGGCGGGUGCUAACGUCCGUCGUGAAGAGGGAAACAACCCAGACCGCCAGCUAAGGUCCCAAAGUCAUGGUUAAGUGGGAAACGAUGUGGGAAGGCACAGACAGCCAGGAUGUUGGCUUAGAAGCAGCCAUCAUUUAAAGAAAGCGUAAUAGCUCACUGGUCGAGUCGGCCUGCGCGGAAGAUGUAACGGGGCUAAACCAUGCACCGAAGCUGCGGCAGCGACACUAUGUGUUGUUGGGUAGGGGAGCGUUCUGUAAGCCUGCGAAGGUGACCUGUGAGGGUUGCUGGAGGUAUCAGAAGUGCGAAUGCUGACAUAAGUAACGAUAAAGCGGGUGAAAAGCCCGCUCGCCGGAAGACCAAGGGUUCCUGUCCAACGUUAAUCGGGGCAGGGUGAGUCGACCCCUAAGGCGAGGCCGAAAGGCGUAGUCGAUGGGAAACAGGUUAAUAUUCCUGUACUUGGUGUUACUGCGAAGGGGGGACGGAGAAGGCUAUGUUAGCCGGGCGACGGUUGUCCCGGUUUAAGCAUGUAGGCUGGUUAUCCAGGCAAAUCCGGAUAAUCAAGGCUGAGGUGUGAUGACGAGGCACUACGGUGCUGAAGUAACAAAUGCCCUGCUUCCAGGAAAAGCCUCUAAGCAUCAGGUAACAUCAAAUCGUACCCCAAACCGACACAGGUGGUCAGGUAGAGAAUACCAAGGCGCUUGAGAGAACUCGGGUGAAGGAACUAGGCAAAAUGGUGCCGUAACUUCGGGAGAAGGCACGCUGGUGUGUAGGUGAAGUCCCUGCGGAUGGAGCUGAGACCAGUCGAAGAUACCAGCUGGCUGCAACUGUUUAUUAAAAACACAGCACUGUGCAAACACGAAAGUGGACGUAUACGGUGUGACGCCUGCCCGGUGCCGGAAGGUUAAUUGAUGGGGUUAUCCGUAAGGAGAAGCUCUUGAUCGAAGCCCCGGUAAACGGCGGCCGUAACUAUAACGGUCCUAAGGUAGCGAAAUUCCUUGUCGGGUAAGUUCCGACCUGCACGAAUGGCGUAAUGAUGGCCAGGCUGUCUCCACCCGAGACUCAGUGAAAUUGAACUCGCUGUGAAGAUGCAGUGUACCCGCGGCAAGACGGAAAGACCCCGUGAACCUUUACUAUAGCUUGACACUGAACAUUGAGCCUUGAUGUGUAGGAUAGGUGGGAGGCUUUGAAGCGUGGACGCCAGUCUGCGUGGAGCCAACCUUGAAAUACCACCCUUUAAUGUUUGAUGUUCUAACGUUGGCCCCUUACCGGGGUUGCGGACAGUGUCUGGUGGGUAGUUUGACUGGGGCGGUCUCCUCCCAAAGCGUAACGGAGGAGCACGAAGGUUAGCUAAUCCUGGUCGGACAUCAGGAGGUUAGUGCAAUGGCAUAAGCUAGCUUGACUGCGAGCGUGACGGCGCGAGCAGGUGCGAAAGCAGGUCAUAGUGAUCCGGUGGUUCUGAAUGGAAGGGCCAUCGCUCAACGGAUAAAAGGUACUCCGGGGAUAACAGGCUGAUACCGCCCAAGAGUUCAUAUCGACGGCGGUGUUUGGCACCUCGAUGUCGGCUCAUCACAUCCUGGGGCUGAAGUAGGUCCCAAGGGUAUGGCUGUUCGCCAUUUAAAGUGGUACGCGAGCUGGGUUUAGAACGUCGUGAGACAGUUCGGUCCCUAUCUGCCGUGGGCGCUGGAGAAUUGAGGGGGGCUGCUCCUAGUACGAGAGGACCGGAGUGGACGCAUCACUGGUGUUCGGGUUGUCAUGCCAAUGGCACUGCCCGGUAGCUAAAUGCGGAAGAGAUAAGUGCUGAAAGCAUCUAAGCACGAAACUUGCCCCGAGAUGAGUUCUCCCUGAGACUUUAAGUCUCCUGAAGGAACGUUAAAGACGAUGACGUUGAUAGGCCGGGUGUGUAAGCGCAGCGAUGCGUUGAGCUAACCGGUACUAAUGAACCGUGAGGCUUAACCUUACAACGCCGAAG